AGUGAACGCUGUCGGUAGGCCUAACACAUGCAAGUCGAACGGCAGCACAGUACGUGCUCGUUGUUACGGGUGGGGAGUGGCGGGUGGGUCAUGGAUAUAUCGGUAGCUACUUUUUCGUGGGGGCUGAAGUAGGGACACUUACGCCAAUCCUGCUUAGGAAGUAAGGGUGAAAUCAGCGGAUCUUAGGCUCUUAGGUGAUUGAAUGAGGCUAUGUCGGAUUAGCUAGUUGGCGGGGUAAAGGCCCACCAAGGCGACGAUCCGUAGCUGGUCUGAGAGGAUGAUCAGCCACACUGGAACUGAGACACGGUCCAGACUCCUACGGGAGGCAGCAGUGGGGAAUAUUGGACAAUGGGCGCAAGCCUGAUCCAGCCAUACCGCGUGUGUGAAGAAGGCCUUCGGGUUGUAAAGCACUUUUGUUGGGGAAGAAAAGCAGCAGGUUAAUACCCCGCUGUUCUGACGGUACCCAAAGAAUAAGCACCGGCUAACUUCGUG
RNAcentral lists this ribosomal RNA (492 nucleotides) under uncultured bacterium. Its description in RNAcentral is "partial 16S ribosomal RNA". It matches the Rfam family "Bacterial small subunit ribosomal RNA", at positions 29 to 507 of the family's 1533-position model. The record is from RNAcentral.